Long non-coding RNA from Cavia porcellus (domestic guinea pig), 836 nucleotides. RefSeq lists it as uncharacterized. The transcript has 3 exons. NCBI's taxonomy places the organism in Eukaryota, Metazoa, Chordata, Mammalia, Rodentia, Caviidae. The record is from RefSeq and is a predicted model, not a curated record.
UAAAGGUUGGAGGUAAAGGAAAGAGAAAGCAUUUGAAAGACAAUUUAUUGUUUACAAUUAAAACCGGAGGAUUAAAGUUCAAAGGUGAGAACCCAGCCUGCAAUUAAGGCUGGUGAGAGGACUUAAACAACCUAUUAUAUGACAAUUACCACAAAUGAGAACAGGAGGUAAUCCAUUGAUUGCAUUCGUGAGCACCCUGCCUCGUUAUCCAUCAUCGCAGCCAAGCACCUUUGCGUUCCCUGAACGUCCCUAGCUAUGUGCAUGGGCCAAGCUACUUUUCCCUCUUUAAGAACCAGGUGCUGUUCCCCGGCUGUUUGACUUUCUCAGAACUCAUACAACCCUGACCAGAAUCAUUUUGUCCCUAAGGACAGAGCCCGAGCCUGGAACAAAUUCCGGAGCAGAGUUCUAGUGAAAUGAGACAAGGCCUGUCUGGUUUGGAAAAGGAGCCACAUUGCUUAUUGAAGUGUGAAAUUGAAAUCCAUGGAGUCUGUGCUUAUCAAAAGCUCAGUGAAGGAGUCAGGGAAGACAGAGGAGAAUCCCAGAGUGGAGAACCUCACAGCGGGCUCGGAGCUCUCCUCGGUGCUGAGACAGCACAGUACGGAAUGCCCUGACCUGGGACCGACCUGGCACAUGUAGGCUGUGUAGUAUUUUGCAAGGACAAGGAAAUCAUUCAGGAAAUUUGUUUUGUGGUGAGGGCAUUAUUCCUUUACCAAAGCCUUCAUCUUUUCCCUAUCAUCAGAGCUUCUGUGACAUUAGAACCCAGGUGGUCCCUCGGCUUUCACUGCCUUCCUCUUGAUUCUUGUUCUGUCUUUAUUUUAAUGAAAUAAAACCUCUGA